GUCACUCCACAGCUUCCCCCUUUGGUCAAAGCAAAUGAAGCCGUCAGGCAGCAGCUGCUCAUUUACUUUCCUGCCGCGAGUGCCCUGACCCAUGAUAGGAUCCUCAGAUGCAGAGUGGAACGCAUUCCAAGUUCAGUAACAGGCUGUGCAAGGUCACGUUCUGGUCUUCUCUGGUUAUUUGUUUUUCCCUGUUGUCCUUGAUCUUCACUUCCGUUUCUCUUCCACCCCCUCCCUCAUUUCCCACUCCCCCCAGCUGCCAGUCACUGACUCACACAUGACAGUCUCCAAUGAAAGGACAAGUACCCUUGGACACUUGCUCUUAUGACUUCUGCAAGGGCUCCCGGGGCACACACCCAGCAUGGGGACUGCUGGGUGUAAGGGCAUAAACCUUCUCUCUGGAAACUUUUAGAAUCAUCAUUUUUGUUUUUGGUUUCCUGAAACACAUUUAUCUUCUUUACCUUCUGAGCCCAUGACAUGACAGCUAAGGAAUAAAAACUGGCAUAACUUUUAACAAUGAAGAGAAUUUGAAGAGGGUCUUCAGAGGAUAAGCAAUUGUGUGAUGUGCGGAUGAAAGACCAUAGGAAUGUUACUGAAUGAAUUUGGGUCCAUUCAUCUGAUGUGCAGCAGAGCCAACCUACUGACACAGGGUCGUGGUGAAGGAGAGAAGAGCUUUUAUUACAGGGCACCAAGCGAGGAGAAUGGGCAGCUCAUGCUCAAAAGACAUGUGAACUCCCCAAAUGCCUUUCAUGGAAGCGUUUUAAAGGCAAUAUUGGGGAACUAAGACCCCCAGCCAGGUGGAGGCUGAUAACUUCAAGCUGAGCACAAGAUUCAUGGAACACCACCCCAACCAACCAGUCGGAAGCGAGUCGCACACCUCUCAGCCUUCACCCCAGAUUUUGCCUUUAGAAACUCUCCCCCUGAAAACCACUGUGGAGGCUCGGUUUUUUGAGCACGAGCUGCCCGUUCUCCUUGCUUGGCCCUUGGAAUAAACCUUUCUUUGCUCCAAACUCCACCAAUUUGGUUGGUUGGUUUGGCCUCACUGUGCGUCAGACAACACUGGGUGUUGUGUUCGAAAAUAGGAUGGUUCCUGUCUAAAGAAACUGGACAACCUGUUCUGCAUGUGGGAGCUCAUGCCACUUCUGGAUUCCGUUUCUGCUCACCCUGAAAUGGAGCCCAGUAGCCAACAAUGUCAUGCUGAGUUCACAGCUUUAAUAGCCCCACCAGUGACUAUUAUGACACACGAAAAAGAAACAUUGUGAAAUAGGAAAAUAAUUCCAUAGGAAAAUAAAUAAUUCAGGGUAAAUAAGGAGCUUGACAGAAACUAAUUUAUAUCCUUAGAGACAUAUAGGAAAAUACUACAUCAAUUAAACAAGAAGAUGCUAUGAAAAUGCUAAUUGAGAAGUUGGAAGGUAAAAUAGAGAAAAAAUAAAAGAAAAAGUAUAAAAUAAUCAACAACAAGAAUAAAAACCAUUUAGAAUAACCUAGGGGAUCAACAUCCAGCUACCAGGAAAUUUAAAAGAAGGAAUUACAAAGAAAUAGCACAAGAGGAUUUCCCAGAGUUGAAGGAUACAGAAGUUAAGAAAGAAGUGUUUACCUACUCCCCACUAUAAUGAAUGAAAGACAGAAAAUGCAACAUUUAAAAAUUCAGAGCACUAAUAAUAAAAAAGAGACCUUAAAUGUUUCCAGAGAGAAUGAGAAAUGAAGAAAAAAUAAUGACAACCUGCAAAUAAAUGGGCACCAAAGACUUGAAAGAGCCACACGAGAUGCUGGACUGCAAAAAAAAUGCUUCAAAUUACGGAGGAAAACUGCUUUUAACUAGAAUUCUAAGUCAGGCAAAGCUAAUUGUGAAUUUUGAAGGCAGAAGAAGAGAGAUUUUUUUCAGACAGAUGAAGUGUUGAACAGGCUUCAACUCCACACAUCUUUUGCAGGAAGUCAUUUGAGGACACACUCCUGCAAAAUGAGGGAGUCAGGCAAGCCAGAAAGAGAUGUAGGAUUCUGGAAGCCAUACCUGCAACCUCGGACAGGAGUGAGGGGACACGCAAAUGACAGUUUUGCUGUGGGUCUAAUGAGUGAUCAGUACAGAUUUUCCAGCUGAAGGAAACACUGAUUUGUAUCCUCUGCCAUUUAUGAAGACAUCACCCGCACAGAAAGGUUAAGUCAGCUGAAGUUAGUGGUCUGGACUCAAUUAGUCUGACUUCAGAGCCUAAACUAAACUUUUACUUUUUAUCUUGCAUUGCUUCUUCUUGUAACUUAAAGUGAUAAAUGGUUUCCACCAGGAAAAUAAAAAUUUUGGUAUGUUUCAUGCGUGCUAAAUACAAUUUAUUAGAGUCAGAAUGUGAGAAA
Vicugna pacos (alpaca) is the source of this 2343-nucleotide non-coding RNA. NCBI's taxonomy places the organism in Eukaryota, Metazoa, Chordata, Mammalia, Artiodactyla, Camelidae. The record is from RefSeq and is a predicted model, not a curated record.